GUAACAAGGUUUCCGUAGGUGAACCUGCGGAAGGAUCAUUAUUGAAUUUUAAUGAAGAGU
Molecule: ribosomal RNA, 60 nt
Filed under: Thanatephorus cucumeris
Lineage: Eukaryota; Fungi; Basidiomycota; Agaricomycetes; Cantharellales; Ceratobasidiaceae
Also listed under: 1 other name
Description: partial 18S ribosomal RNA
Rfam family: Eukaryotic small subunit ribosomal RNA (bases 1-41)
Source: RNAcentral